This 1464-nucleotide ribosomal RNA is filed under the name uncultured bacterium. RNAcentral describes it as "16S ribosomal RNA". It matches the Rfam family "Bacterial small subunit ribosomal RNA". The record is from RNAcentral.
AGAGUUUGAUCCUGGCUCAGGAUGAACGCUGGCGGCGUGCCUAACACAUGCAAGUCGAGCGAUCUUCUUCGGAAGAGAGCGGCGGACGGGUGAGUAACGCGUGGGUAACCUGCCCUGUACACACGGAUAACAUACCGAAAGGUAUGCUAAUACGAGAUAAUAUGCUUUUGUCGCAUGGUAGAAGUAUCAAAGCUUUUGCGGUACAGGAUGGACCCGCGUCUGAUUAGCUAGUUGGUAAGGUAACGGCUUACCAAGGCGACGAUCAGUAGCCGACCUGAGAGGGUGAUCGGCCACAUUGGAACUGAGACACGGUCCAAACUCCUACGGGAGGCAGCAGUGGGGAAUAUUGCACAAUGGGCGAAAGCCUGAUGCAGCAACGCCGCGUGAGCGAUGAAGGCCUUCGGGUCGUAAAGCUCUGUCCUCAAGGAAGAUAAUGACGGUACUUGAGGAGGAAGCCCCGGCUAACUACGUGCCAGCAGCCGCGGUAAUACGUAGGGGGCUAGCGUUAUCCGGAAUUACUGGGCGUAAAGGGUGCGUAGGUGGUUUCUUAAGUCAGAGGUGAAAGGCUACGGCUCAACCGUAGUAAGCCUUUGAAACUGGGAAACUUGAGUGCAGGAGAGGAGAGUGGAAUUCCUAGUGUAGCGGUGAAAUGCGUAGAUAUUAGGAGGAACACCAGUUGCGAAGGCGGCUCUCUGGACUGUAACUGACACUGAGGCACGAAAGCGUGGGGAGCAAACAGGAUUAGAUACCCUGAUAGUCCACGCCGUAAACGAUGAGUACUAGCUGUCGGAGGUUACCCCCUUCGGUGGCGCAGCUAACGCAUUAAGUACUCCGCCUGGGAAGUACGCUCGCAAGAGUGAAACUCAAAGGAAUUGACGGGGACCCGCACAAGUAGCGGAGCAUGUGGUUUAAUUCGAAGCAACGCGAAGAACCUUACCUAAGCUUGACAUCCUUUUGACCGAUGCCUAAUCGCAUCUUUCCCUUCGGGGACAGAAGUGACAGGUGGUGCAUGGUUGUCGUCAGCUCGUGUCGUGAGAUGUUGGGUUAAGUCCCGCAACGAGCGCAACCCUUGCCUUUAGUUGCCAGCAUUAAGUUGGGCACUCUAGAGGGACUGCCAGGGAUAACCUGGAGGAAGGUGGGGAUGACGUCAAAUCAUCAUGCCCCUUAUGCUUAGGGCUACACACGUGCUACAAUGGGUGGUACAGAGGGCAGCCAAGUCGUGAGGCGGAGCUAAUCCCUUAAAGCCAUUCUCAGUUCGGAUUGUAGGCUGAAACUCGCCUACAUGAAGCUGGAGUUACUAGUAAUCGCAGAUCAGAAUGCUGCGGUGAAUGCGUUCCCGGGUCUUGUACACACCGCCCGUCACACCACGGGAGUUGGGGGCGCCCGAAGUAGGUAGCUUAACCUUCGGGAGGGCGCUUACCACGGUGAGAUUCGUGACUGGGGUGAAGUCGUAACAAGGUAACC